GUGGGGAAUAUUGGGCAAUGGGGGAAACCCUGACCCAGCAACGCCGCGUGAGGGAAGAAGGUUUUCGGAUUGUAAACCUCUGUCCUUGGUGACGAAGGAAGUGACGGUAGCCAAGGAGGAAGCCCCGGCUAACUACGUGCCAGCAGCCGCGGUAAUACGUAGGGGGCAAGCGUUGUCCGGAAUGACUGGGCGUAAAGGGCGUGUAGGCGGCCGAUUAAGUCUGGAGUGAAAGUCCUGCUUUCAAGGUGGGAAUUGCUUUGGAGACUGGUUGGCUUGAGUGCGGAAGAGGUAAGUGGAAUUCCCAGUGUAGCGGUGAAAUGCGUAGAGAUUGGGAGGAACACCAGUGGCGAAGGCGACUUACUGGGCCGUAACUGACGCUGAGGCGCGAAAGCGUGGGGAGCGAACAGGAUUAGAUACCCGUGUAGUCC
This 428-nucleotide ribosomal RNA is filed under the name uncultured bacterium. Its description in RNAcentral is "partial 16S ribosomal RNA". It matches the Rfam family "Bacterial small subunit ribosomal RNA", at positions 354 to 796 of the family's 1533-position model. The record is from RNAcentral.